RNAcentral lists this non-coding RNA (156 nucleotides) under Bacteroides finegoldii. Lineage: Bacteria; Pseudomonadati; Bacteroidota; Bacteroidia; Bacteroidales; Bacteroidaceae. The record is from RNAcentral.
GGGGGAAGCAAUUAAAAGGGAAUCAGGUGCAAGUCCUGAACAGUCCCGCUGCUGUAAGUUCCAUACAAGUUACAAGCAAUUCACUCAUUGCCACUGGAGACCAAUCCGGGAAGGCGUUUGUAACAGGAAUAAGUCAGAAGACCUGCCAUGCAACCA